CUUACAAUUGCGAUGGGGGGACGGAGAAGGCUAGGUGGGCCUGGCGACGGUUGUCCAGGUUCAAGUGCGUAGGCUUAAGAGUUAGGUAAAUCCGGCUCUUUUUAAGGCUGAGACACGACGUCGAGCACCUACGGGUGUGAAGUCAUUGAUGCCAUGCUUCCAGGAAAAGCCUCUAAGCUUCAGAUUGUAAGGAAUCGUACCCCAAACCGACACAGGUGGUCGGGUAGAGAAUACCAAGGCGCUUGAGAGAACUCGGGUGAAGGAACUAGGCAAAAUGGUACCGUAACUUCGGGAGAAGGUACGCUCUCGACGGUGAAGUCCCUCGCGGAUGGAGCUAUUGAGAGUCGCAGAUACCAGGUGGCUGCAACUGUUUAUUAAAAACACAGCACUGUGCAAAAUCGUAAGAUGACGUAUACGGUGUGACGCCUGCCCGGUGCCGGAAGGUUAAUUGAUGGGGUUAGACUUC
RNAcentral lists this ribosomal RNA (466 nucleotides) under Vibrio parahaemolyticus. RNAcentral's name for it is "partial 23S ribosomal RNA". It matches the Rfam family "Bacterial large subunit ribosomal RNA", at positions 1447 to 1898 of the family's 2925-position model. Lineage: Bacteria; Pseudomonadati; Pseudomonadota; Gammaproteobacteria; Vibrionales; Vibrionaceae. The record is from RNAcentral.